RNAcentral lists this ribosomal RNA (253 nucleotides) under uncultured bacterium. RNAcentral's name for it is "partial 16S ribosomal RNA". It matches the Rfam family "Bacterial small subunit ribosomal RNA", at positions 524 to 776 of the family's 1533-position model. The record is from RNAcentral.
UACAGAGGUCUCAAGCGUUGUUCGGAUUCAUUGGGCGUAAAGGGUGCGUAGGUGGCGCGGUAAGUCGGGUGUGAAAUUUCGGAGCUUAACUCCGAAACUGCAUUCGAUACUGCCGUGCUUGAGGACUGGAGAGGAGACUGGAAUUCAUGGUGUAGCAGUGAAAUGCGUAGAGAUCAUGAGGAAGACCAGUGGCGAAGGCGGGUCUCUGGACAGUUCCUGACGCUGAGGCACGAAGGUCAGGGGAGCAAACGGG